CCUACGGGCGUCAGCAGUGAGGAAUAUUGGUCAAUGGACGAGAGUCUGAACCAGCCAAGUAGCGUGAAGGAUGACUGCCCUAUGGGUUGUAAACUUCUUUUAUAAAGGAAUAAAACGAGGCACGUGUGCCGUUUUGCAUGUACUUUAUGAAUAAGGAUCGGCUAACUCCGUGCCAGCAGCCGCGGUAAUACGGAGGAUCCGAGCGUUAUCCGGAUUUAUUGGGUUUAAAGGGAGCGUAGAUGGGUUGUUAAGUCAGUUGUGAAAGGUUGCGGCUCAACCGUAAAAUUGCAGUUGAAACUGGCAGUCUUGAGUACAGUAGAGGUGGGCGGAAUUCGUGGUGUAGCGGUGAAAUGCUUAGAUAUCACGAAGAACUCCGAUUGCGAAGGCAGCUCACUGGACUGCAACUGACACUGAUGCUCGAAAGUGUGGGUAUCAAACAGGAUUAGAUACCCGUGUAGUC
RNAcentral lists this ribosomal RNA (460 nucleotides) under uncultured bacterium. Its description in RNAcentral is "partial 16S ribosomal RNA". It matches the Rfam family "Bacterial small subunit ribosomal RNA", at positions 338 to 795 of the family's 1533-position model. The record is from RNAcentral.